Molecule: ribosomal RNA, 496 nt
Filed under: uncultured bacterium
Lineage: Bacteria
Description: bacterial SSU rRNA
Rfam family: Bacterial small subunit ribosomal RNA
Source: RNAcentral
AACGUAGUUUGAUCAUGGCUCAGAUUGAACGCUGGCGGCAGGCUUAAACACAUGCAAGUCGUAGCGGAGACUUCGGUCAUAGCGGCGAACGGGUGAGUAAUACCUAGGAAUCUGCCUAUUAGUGGGGGAUAACGAAUCGAAAGGUUCGCUAAUACCGCAUACGUCCUACGGGAGAAAGGGGGGGAUCUUCGGACCUCUCGCUAAUAGAUGAGCCUAGGCCGGAUUAGCUAGUUGGUAGGGUAAAGGCCUACCAAGGCGACGAUCUGUAGCUGGUCUGAGAGGAUGGCCAGCCACACUGGAACUGAGACACGGUCCAGACUCCUACGGGAGGCAGCAGUGGGGAAUAUUGGACAAUGGGGGCAACCCUGAUCCAGCCAUGCCGCGUGUGUGAAGAAGGCCUUCGGGUUGUAAAGCACUUUAAGCGAGGAGGAAGGUUUUAGUUUAAUACACUAAAGAAUUGACGUUACUCGCAGAAUAAGCACCGGCUAACUCUGUG